UUAGGCCAGUAAUAUAAUUAAGAAAACUUGAAUAGUUUGGAAAUGCUAACCAUAGGGGGUGAUAGUCCCGUAAAGGUAAUGCUUAAUUAUAUUCUUGAGUAAAGCGGGACACGUGAAAUCUUGCUCGAAUACAGGGGGACCACCCUCUAAGCCUAAAUACUCUUCAGUGACCGAUAGUGAACUAGUACCGUGAGGGAAAGGUGAAAAGAACCCCUAUUAGGGGAGUGAAAUAGAACCUGAAACUGCAUGCCUACAAUCAGUCGAAGCUCUUUUUAGAGUGACGGCGUACCUUUUGUAUAAUGGGUCAGUGACUUAAUUUAUAAAGCAAGCUUAAGCCAUCUAGGUGUAGGCGUAGCGAAAGCAAGUCUUAAUAGGGCGAUUAGUUUUGUGAAUUAGACCCGAAAACGAAUGAGCUUACCAUGAGCAGGUUGAAUGCAAGGUAACACUUGCUGGAGGACCGAACCAGUUGACGUUGAAAAGUCUUUGGAUGACUUGUGGUAAGGGGUGAAAGGCCAACCAAAUUCGUAGAUAGCUGGUUUUCCGCGAAAACUAUUUAGGUAGUGCGAUGAAUAAAUAUGUAUUUAGAGGUAGAGCACUAAAUGGGCUAGGGGGAAGAGAUUCUUACCAAACCUAAUAAAACUCCGAAUGCUAAAUAUAGUUCUUCAUCAGACAGACUGUGGGUGCUAAGGUCCAUGGUCGAGAGGGAAAAAGCCCAGACCACCAGAUAAGGUCCCGAAAUUGUGAUUAAGUGUGAAAGGAUGUGGAAAUUCCUUAACAGCCGGGAGGUUGGCUUAGAAGCAGCCAUCCUUUAAAGAUAGCGUAACAGCUCACCGGUCUAAUAGAGUUUCUGCGCCGAAGAUGUAACGGGGCUAAAAUCACAUACCGAAUCUGUGGGUUUAUAAAACUUUGUUUUAUAAGCGGUAGCGGAACGUUCUGUAAGCCUGUAAAGGAAUACCCGUGAGGGGUUCUGGAGGUAUCAGAAGUGCGAAUGCUGACAUAAGUAACGAUAAAUAAAGUGAAAAACUUUAUCGCCGAAAAUCCAAGGGUUUCUGCGCAAGGUUAAUCCGCGCAGAGUUAGUCGGCCCCUAAGGCGAGGGCGAAAGCCGUAGUCGAUGGAAAUAAGGUUAAUAUUCCUUAACCAGAUGGAAGUGACGAAUUUCGUAAGUUGUAAAUUCUUAAUGGAUUGAAUUUGCCGCGAAGAAGUUCCAGGAAAUAGCUCCAUCAUAAGACCGUACCCUAAACCGACACAGGUGGAUUAAUAGAGUAUAUUUAGGCGCUUGAGAGAAUGAUGUUGAAGGAACUCGGCAAAAUGCUUCUGUAACUUCGGGAUAAAGAAGACCUUUUAUUGGGCAACCAAUUAAAGGUGGCACAAGCCAGGGAGAAGCGACUGUUUAUCAAAAACACAGGGCUCUGCUAACACGUAAGUGGAUGUAUAGGGUCUGACGCCUGCCCGGUGCUGGAAGGUUAAUGCGAUGGGUGCAAGCUCAUUUCUGAAGCCCCAGUAAACGGCGGCCGUAACUAUAACGGUCCUAAGGUAGCGAAAUUCCUUGUCGGGUAAGUUCCGACCUGCAUGAAUGGCGUAACGAUUUCUCCGCUGUCUCCAACAUCAACUCAGUGAAAUUGAAUUCUCCGUGAAGAUGCGGAGUCGCG
Molecule: ribosomal RNA, 1650 nt
Filed under: marine metagenome
Description: bacterial LSU rRNA
Rfam family: Bacterial large subunit ribosomal RNA
Source: RNAcentral